This 253-nucleotide ribosomal RNA is filed under the name uncultured bacterium. Its description in RNAcentral is "partial 16S ribosomal RNA". It matches the Rfam family "Bacterial small subunit ribosomal RNA", at positions 524 to 776 of the family's 1533-position model. The record is from RNAcentral.
UACGUAGGGUGCAAGCGUUACUCGGAAUUACUGGGCGUAAAGCGUGCGCAGGCGGUUUUGCAAGACAGAUGUGAAAGCCCCGGGCUCAACCUGGGAAUUGCAUUUGAAACUGCAUAGCUAGGGUGCGGAAGAGGGAAGCGGAAUUUCCGGUGUAGCGGUGAAAUGCGUAGAUAUCGGAAGGAACACCAGUGGCGAAAGCGGCUUCCUGGUCCAGCACCGACGUUCAGGCACGAAAGCGUGGGGAGCAAACAGG